This 501-nucleotide ribosomal RNA is filed under the name uncultured bacterium. Its description in RNAcentral is "partial 16S ribosomal RNA". It matches the Rfam family "Bacterial small subunit ribosomal RNA", at positions 29 to 523 of the family's 1533-position model. The record is from RNAcentral.
AUCGAACGCUGGCGGCAUGCCUUACACAUGCAAGUCGAACGGCAGCACGGGUGCUUGCACCUGGUGGCGAGUGGCGAACGGGUGAGUAAUACAUCGGAACGUACCUUAUCGUGGGGGAUAACGCAGCGAAAGCUGUGCUAAUACCGCAUACGCCCUGAGGGGGAAAGCGGGGGAUCGCAAGACCUCGCGCGAUUAGAGCGGCCGAUGCCUGAUUAGCUAGUUGGUGGGGUAAAAGCCCACCAAGGCGACGAUCAGUAGCUGGUCUGAGAGGACGAUCAGCCACACUGGGACUGAGACACGGCCCAGACUCCUACGGGAGGCAGCAGUGGGGAAUUUUGGACAAUGGGGGCAACCCUGAUCCAGCAAUGCCGCGUGAGUGAAGAAGGCCUUCGGGUUGUAAAGCUCUUUUGUCAGGGAAGAAACACCGGCUCUAACACAGUCCAGGAAUGACGGUACCUGAAGAAUAAGCACCGGCUAACUACGUGCCAGCAGCCGCCGUAA